This 6462-nucleotide long non-coding RNA is filed under the name Citrus x clementina. RNAcentral describes it as "Citrus clementina (C. clementina) long non-coding RNA (CCLE_LNC002110)". The record is from RNAcentral. Lineage: Eukaryota; Viridiplantae; Streptophyta; Magnoliopsida; Sapindales; Rutaceae.
UAACUACACGUAAUAGAAUAGAUUGAAUGUAUUUAUGAUUAUCUAACCCGAAACAAAUUGUGUCUUUUUUAAAAAAAAAAAAUUAUCCUUACUAUAUCAAUGCCCAUAAUAGAUAACAUCUACUUUUAAAUAUUUAGAAAAAAAAAAAUCAAUUUCUAUAAUGCACACAAUAAAAUUAAGCGAGGAGCUGCCCUUCAAUCAGCUACAGCUGAAGUGACUAUUAGCCACAGAAAUUCUAUCAUAUAAAAAGAUGAGAAGCUUGAGGUUAUUUUCACAUGCUUUAUAGUAUUUUCUUAGGACAAUGACACGAUUUGACUUCUCUGUAUUCCCUGCACUUGGGACCAAUUUUGAAGCAGUGAAAACUCGCGAGACAAACAAAGCAUAAGAAACGAAACUAAAAAUCUUUCCCGGAUUCUUGCCCUUGGUUCCGUGCAUGCAUGCACAUAUGAUACUUCUACCAUCUAUAACUAACAGUCGAAUUUUGUGCGAAUUAGUUAUUUAACGACAUUAUCGCGUUAAAUUUAAGCCAAAAGAAAAAGUUUCAGGUCUCAACACAGGAGAAGAUUUUUAUUUUAAAAAAAAAAAAAAGCUGUAGAAGAAUAAUAAUAUUCUCAAAAGAGGGGCCUGGUUUCAAGAAACUAAUUAAUAAAGUUAUGAUAGUGUUUAGUAGAGAAAGCAUAAUACUAAAGAUGAAACGGAUUGUCAAAAGAGUUAGUGAAAUAAAUUAAAAGUGAAAGCAAUGAUUCCUUUUCCAUGUAAAGCAAAAACUGAUUCUUUCAAUCUAUUCUCUUCCUCUUUUUAAUUAAUUUACUGUAGUCUUCAACAUUCGUAUCACCGAAAUUCGAUAUGACCAUUGCUUAUCGUUUAUCUAUUAUUAUCUCUAACUAAUAUUAAUCACCUGAAGAUGCUAUAUAUGCUAUGCUAAGCUAGGUCAUCUCUCUAACUUUUAUUCUUUUUUUCCCUUAGUUUAUUUUAUGCUGAAUAAGAGAGAGACAAAUGAUUAAAGGAAAAGAAACCUCAAUCUGAUUCCAAUUUCUGUCGCUAAAAUAUAUAGAUAUAUAUUUUAUUUGCAGAGCACUAAGAAUGAAAGAAGUGUAAUGGGGGGGGGGGGGGGGGGGGGGGUCGAAAGUGGAGCCAGCCUUUUCAAUGAUCAAAGACUUGAGAGUUUUGGCUACUUCACAUUAUUGGGUGCGCAUCAUUUUUUUGAGUGCACCCCUUUCUGCGCCCUCAACUUGUAUAUAUAUUAUGCGUUCAAUAAGAUUUUUCACUUUUUCUUGUGUUUUAUGCUCUUGCUUUUUUGAAAUAUUCUUUCUCUCUCCAUUGUUCUCUCAUCAUAUCUCUAAUUUUAUCUAUACACUAUUUAGCUAGCUAGCUUCAUUUUUGCAUGAAUCAUUCUCUCUAGUUUUUGGGUAUCUUUAUUAUUAAUCAAUGACGCUUUUGUGGUUGAGCUAGCAUAUUAUUUAUUAGGGUAUCUUUACCUUAAUCAAUAUGUGAGCUCUAGAAUAUUAUGUAAACAUGUCAAGAAUUUUCAUUUCACAUCAAAUUGCAAAUGUUGUUUACUGCUAAAAGAGAUAAGCAAAUUGAUCGAUCCAUGAAUCAACCAACCUGCAUCCAUUAUUUUAAACCGGAAAAAAAAUCUUGCCUUUAGAUAGAUAAUGAAAUUUUAUUGCUAUCAUUAUAAUCAAAUAGAAAAAAAAGAUUCUCUUAAUGCGAUCGAUUUUGACUAAAUUAUUCCAUAACCAUGUGCUUAGCUUGGCAAUUCUUUUUCAUUUUAUCAUAGUGGAAGCUGCUCUUCUCUAGAUAUAUUGAAAAUGACAUGCACUUAGUUUUCUAAUUUCACAACUAGCUCCGAAGCUAUCAUUAAUUAGAUAUUUUAACAGUGAAUCUCUAAGUGCAACUUUGUUAGUGAAUAAGAGAAAAGGUGAGAAUUGAGAUGAUGAUUAAAGUUAAUGAUAAUGAAGUGUUAAGUUAAUCUCACCAUAAAUAAUUGUAUCAUUUAAAAUAACAAAAGUAAUUAUUCUUUUUGAAGAUAUAUAUAAUCAUUAUUAGAUGUGGACUCUGCCCUUAGGAUUGUUGAUGUAUAGUUCUUUUAUAAUUUUACAGCGCAUAAAGGCACUCGACAACGAAAUAAAAGGUUAAUAAGUUACGAAUGUCCAUAUUUGUGAAUAGUUCUUCUUUGAUGGACACGAAAAAAUUUAAAUUUCAAAUUGUAGACGACAACUUUCUAAAAAAAAUAUUGUCUAACUUGAAGUAAUCAUUGAAAAAAAAAAAAGAACUUCAAGUAAUCACUAUUUUUCUUUUUCUUUCUUUUUUUUUCUUUUGUCUUUCACAUUAGUUACUAAUAGUAUUUUCCGAACACUCACAUAUGAGAAUUUAUAAUUUUAUUAAAACAUUAAAAAUUUAAGAGAAAACCAAUGGGCAUGCUACAACUCCUACAGAUUCAUGAAACUCUUUGGAGAGCCGGGAAAAGAAUUAAAAAUUGAAUUAAGUAGUUAAAAUUAAUGAAAGCGAUACCCAUUUAAAAGUUCUUUAUAAUUUAAAAAUGACUCAAAAAUUUUCAAAAAAAUAUGUUUAAAAGUGGGGCCGGUUAGAUGUGUCGUAUAAGUGAGUUUGUGAAUAGAGUUACCAAGUCGACAAGUGGCAAGCACUCCCGGUUUGUAGUGGCCGUAAGGGAGGUUGGGGGGGAUUUUUGGUGUCGUUUUGUGCUUUCAUGGAUUGCGUUUACACAACCAUUCCAAUCAAAUCAUUUGGUGGUGGAGGUGUCCUCAUAAUUAUCAUCUAUCAUCUAUCAUCUAUCAUCAUCUUCCAUUAUUAUUAUUAUUAUUAUUCUUUCAGCUUUUAAAUUAAUUAUUGUCAUUAUGAAAUUAAUAAUGAAAAUUGGAUUUUCCUCCAAACUUUUCAAUCUCUGUUUUCUUUGUCUUUUGUGGUUUAGUCUUUGGUCUCUCUUUCUCACCUUUUUUUCAUUAUGAUUGUUGCUUUAACAACCUUAAUCUUUUCGUUGACCCCCUCAAAACUGGUUAGUUAUGAAUUCUUAUUAAGAGAAAGGGAAGAUUAAACUCAUAACAGAGUGUUCUAAUCCUAAAAACUGAAUACAUUCUAAUUUAAUUAUAAAUUUGACAAAAUGGUGAUAUUAAUUAAUAAAUAAAUGGAAAGAGAUUCUGUUUGUAAUCAUAAAUGUGAAAAAUAAACAAAUAAAAAAAAGGUGCUACUUUUUUUUUUUUUGGGGGUUUCUUCGGACUCAAAAUGGGGUUGAUUGGUUUCAACAAAUAAAUAACUGAAGCUACAUAAUUACAUGGUUGUGAUGAGACAUAUUGGUUGUCUCAGUCUCACUGUCAUAUCUUGCUUUUUGUCCACUGCAAAUCUUUCCAUGCUUCUUCACACAGAUUACCACGCAUGAGGGAAAAAUCUUUAUUGGUUGUCACAUCAAAUUUGAUACGCAUUUGCAUUUUGUUGAUGCAACAGUUCAAUAAUUGCAAUAUUCGUAGACUAACACUCCACCCAGUUUUAAUCUCUUUGAUUUUGAUUAAUUCCUUUGAUUAGCUCUGGCAACUUUUUUUUUAUUUGACUAGUGACGUUAAUUACUAGUUUGGAAUCUAUUCGAAUCUGUUCUUAACUUAGACAUCUAACCUAAAUCAGAUGUGCUAGCUUCUAUUUUUUUUUUUUUUUUUAAAAAGGGGAAUAAAAUUUCAUUAAUUGAAAGAAGCAAAUAAGGACAUAAGUUCUGAAGGGUAUGAACCCAUCCAAACAAUAUUUUCUCAUUUCUCUAGUGCUAACUUAGUUAGAGAAUGAGCAAUUGCAUUACAAAAUCUAGGUAUAUGUUGAACUUUAAUCUGAUUAAAAUUCUUCAUUAAGCUUUGAGAUGUGCUAGCUUCUAAUUAGUUGAAGAAGAAGGAAGAAAAAAUCCCCACAUAUAUGAGGAGUAGGAAUAUGAUUGGAUCCUACUAGAUUAGCUAUGUUGUGGCGUAAUUUAAUUAGAUGUCUAAAAUGAAAAAGGGGUAAAAUUUGCUUUCAAAUAGUGAACGCUCAUUUAAAUUACUUCUUGCUUUUGAAAAAAAAAAGAGUUAUCAUCCAAUAAAUAAGUGAUAUGUUUAACGGAGAUUCACAUUAAUUAAAUUAUCUUCUUCAGUUCAACAACAUAAUAAUGUUAAAAAAGUUAAUCGGAAUGAAUUAUUAAAUAAUGAUGAUAAGACUUAGAUUGUUAAAUCUUCUUAUAUUCAAUUAUUUAAGACAAAUGUAAUGCUUAAGUUAAGUUGCAUGCUUACAAGAAUAACAGAUAGAAAGCAGAAGGGUCAAAACAACAUCAUUGGAAAGAUGCAUUAUGGUGAUUAAUAAUUAUAAAUAUGCAUUAACUUAAAAGGCACUUCUAGAUGCGUGCGCGGUUUUUCCACAUUGGGUUAAAAUGCUAGUAAGAGUUCAUUAAGUUAAAGCAACAAUUACAUUACGUUUACAAAUUAAAGAAACAAACAAAACAAAAAGAAAGUCAUUAAACAGAAGGAUAAGAAACUGGUCACAUGAUGAGGGCACAAGUGAUAUAAAUGUAUUUUUUUUCAAAUAAUUAAAAACAAAAUUAAACUACAGUAACAUAUAGAUGAAGUUAAAGGUGUGUGUUGUCUAUAGAUCUGAUGUUUUAGUGAGUGUGAUUCACAUUAAGCACACCCCAUGUGACAGAUACCAAAAUCAUGUCAAUAUAUAUCAUCAAGAUAAAAAAAAAAAAAAAAGUUAAACGAUGUGUAUGUGAUAUCAAAUAUUAUUCUCAUUAGUGGAUAUGAUGUGGAGGAGGAGAAUGACAUGUAAGCAAUAGAAAAUAAAAUAAUGCAAAAAGCAAGUUAGGGUUUUGUUUUUAAGAUUUUGCAGAGAGACAAGAAGAACCCACAAAAUCACGCGCGUGCCCUCUUGUAUGUUUUUUUGAUUCUUUGCUUUAUUUGGACUCACAAAUCACCCACUACUUCAUCAUCAUCCAUUAUCUAGCAUUAAUUCUCAUACACCUAUUUGAAAAAAAAACAUAUAUUUCUUAUUUUUAAUUUAUUUUUUUAUAUUUUAAUUUCCUUCAUGUGAUUUAUUUAAUCUAUAAUAAAUAUGAAUAAGAGUGUAUUUAAAAAUAAUAGUAAUAUUAUAAACUUAUACUAUCAGGAGGUGUUAUUAGUUAUUAUAAAAAAGAGUAGAGAGUACAAAUGAUAUAUAUUGAUUACAAUAAAAGAAAAAAAAAGAAAAAUUAGUAAUUUCCCAUCGAUUGAAAUUCAAAUAGACAAUGAAGCUGGAAUUGGUCGUACUAAGUGAUCGGGUCAUGUAGUAUGUUAACAACAACAUACGGGGAAUUAUUCAAUAGUUGAUAGUAAACCAUUAUGAAAACAAAUUCAAGCCAAUUUUACGCCAAAAUAUCCAAAUUUUACCAUCAAAUAAUGAUUUGUGGUUCUUGACAAUAAUUGACGUUUUAUAUAUACACGUAUAUUCAUUUAUUUAUUUACCAAUUUUUGUUAAUGGAGAUGGACAAAAUUCAAAAGAAAAUUAAUUGUUAAACGAUCGCGAAUUGAGAUAGCUAGAAUUCUUGGGUUGUUGUAUGUGGGACACAUAUACUGUAUGAUAAUUGAAAUCAUUAUUAUGUGGCUUGAAAAUCCUUGUUACAUAUAAUUUUAUAUACAACUUAGAAAGCACGCGCAUUAGCCCUUUUCAUCCUCAUCCUCGCGUAAGCAUGAGACGUACAUUAGCACUUAAUGAUACUUAAAUGUGGUUCACAUUAUGUCAUCCUAUUAAUCAAAUAAAUUGAUAAUUAAUGGAUCAUUUUAGGUAGCCGUAGUAGCUUCCACUUGUACACGAGCAAAUAGCAACUAUUUUCAGUGGAAAAGGCAGGCUUAAACUGAGACCUAAGUAAAAUAAUAAUGUUGUUUCUUUCUGUACACAAAUAAAAUUCAAUCAGAUAAAGAACUCAAGUCUUUUUUUAAAAAUCACUUCUGUUUAUCCAGUGUCGAUCAUCCCACCAUCAUAGUCACCCGUAGCCGAAAUCCACACAGAUAUGAGAUAGCUACUAGCUAUAUAUGGGUUUCGGAUCAAAAUCAUGAAAUAGGAUUUGUGGAUUUUGUUUAGAUUUUCUAUUUGAUUAGCCAAUUAUAAGUAUAUUCAUUGGUGGGAGUGAUAAUGGAGAAAUUGUGCGGCAAAGACAAAGAUAUGAGAGAAGAGAAAGCCGGUUGAAAAGAAAAGAAAAGAAAAGAAAAAUAGAGUUACUCAAAUGUCCUUGCAUAAAUCAAAUAUUGUGCGGAAUGGUGGGCACUCUUAUCUCUCAUGCAUGAUUACGAUUACAAAUUACAAUAUGGUUACUUUUGAUAGGUCGCUCUUAGAACGUGCACACGAAAUCGCAUUAUCGUCAUUAUUUUUGGAAAUACGAUUCUUACCCCCUCUUGUUUAUCAAAAGCCAUCAAAACUAAGAGUCGGCAAAAAAAAUAUAAAAUCGAAUAGCAUUGAUGAUUC